This 429-nucleotide ribosomal RNA is filed under the name Pseudomonadota bacterium. Its description in RNAcentral is "Proteobacteria bacterium partial 16S ribosomal RNA". It matches the Rfam family "Bacterial small subunit ribosomal RNA", at positions 355 to 776 of the family's 1533-position model. The record is from RNAcentral. Lineage: Bacteria; Pseudomonadati; Pseudomonadota.
UGGGGAAUAUUGGACAAUGGGCGAAAGCCUGAUCCAGCCAUGCCGCGUGUGUGAAGAAGGUCUUCGGAUUGUAAAGCACUUUAAGUUGGGAGGAAGGGCAGUAAGCGAAUACCUUGCUGUUUUGACGUUACCGACAGAAUAAGCACCGGCUAACUCUGUGCCAGCAGCCGCGGUAAUACAGAGGGUGCAAGCGUUAAUCGGAAUUACUGGGCGUAAAGCGCGCGUAGGUGGUUCGUUAAGUUGAAUGUGAAAGCCCCGGGCUCAACCUGGGAACUGCAUCCAAAACUGGCGAGCUAGAGUAGGGCAGAGGGUGGUGGAAUUUCCUGUGUAGCGGUGAAAUGCGUACAUAUAGGAAGGAACACCAGUGGCGAAGGCGACCACCUGGGCUCAUACUGACACUGAGGUGCGAAAGCGUGGGGAGCAAACAGG